UGCAGUCGAACGGCAGCACGGGUGCUUGCACCUGGUGGCGAGUGGCGAACGGGUGAGUAAUACAUCGGAACAUGUCCUGUAGUGGGGGAUAGCCCGGCGAAAGCCGGAUUAAUACCGCAUACGAUCUACGGAUGAAAGCGGGGGACCUUCGGGCCUCGCGCUAUAGGGUUGGCCGAUGGCUGAUUAACUAGUUGGUGGGGUAAAGGCCUACCCAAGGCGACGAUUCAGUAAAUGGUUCUGAAAGGACGACCAGCCACACUGGGACUGAGACACGGCCCCAGACUCCUACGGGAGGCAGCAGUGGGGAAUUUUGGACAAUGGGCGAAAGCCUGAUCCAGCAAUGCCGCGUGUGUGAAGAAGGCCUUCGGGUUGUAAAGCACUUUUGUCCGGAAAGAAAUCCUUGGCUUCUAAUACAGUCGGGGGAUGACGGUACCGGAAGAAUAAGCACCGGCUAACUACGUGCCAGCAGCCGCGGUAAUACGUAGGGUGCAAGCGUUAAUCGGAAUUACUGGGCGUAAAGCGUGCGCAGGCGGUUUGCUAAGACCGAUGUGAAAUCCCCGGGCUCAACCUGGGAACUGCAUUGGUGACUGGCAGGCUAGAGUAUGGCAGAGGGGGGUAGAAUUCCACGUGUAGCAGUGAAAUGCGUAGAGAUGUGGAGGAAUACCGAUGGCGAAGGCAGCCCCCUGGGCCAAUACUGACGCUCAUGCACGAAAGCGUGGGGAGCAAACAGGAUUAGAUACCCUGGUAGUCCACGCCCUAAACGAUGUCAACUAGUUGUUGGGGAUUCAUUUCCUUAGUAACGUAGCUAACGCGUGAAGUUGACCGCCUGGGGAGUACGGUCGCAAGAUUAAAACUCAAAGGAAUUGACGGGGACCCGCACAAGCGGUGGAUGAUGUGGAUUAAUUCGAUGCAACGCGAAAAACCUUACCUACCCUUGACAUGGUCGGAAUCCUGAAGAGAUUCGGGAGUGCUCGAAAGAAAACCGGCGCACAGGUGCUGCAUGGCUGUCGUCAGCUCGUGUCGUGAGAUGUUGGGUUAAGUCCCGCAACGAGCGCAACCCUUGUCCUUAGUUGCUACGCAAGAGCACUCUAAGGAGACUGCCGGUGACAAACCGGAGGAAGGUGGGGAUGACGUCAAGUCCUCAUGGCCCUUAAGGGUAGGGCUUCACACCGUCAUACAAUGGUCGGAACAGAGGGUUGCCAACCCGCGAGGGGGAGCUAAUCCCAGAAAACCGAUCGGAGUCCGGAUUGCACUCUGGCAACUCCAGGGCAUGAAGCUGGAAUCCCUAGUAAUCGCGGAUCAGCAUGCCGCGGUGAAUACGUUCCCGGGUCUUGUACACACCGCCCGUCACACCAUGGGAGUGGGUUUUACCAGAAGUGGCUAGUCUAACCGCAAGGAGGACGUCACCACGUAGAU
Molecule: ribosomal RNA, 1416 nt
Filed under: Burkholderia sp.
Lineage: Bacteria; Pseudomonadati; Pseudomonadota; Betaproteobacteria; Burkholderiales; Burkholderiaceae
Description: bacterial SSU rRNA
Rfam family: Bacterial small subunit ribosomal RNA
Source: RNAcentral